This 481-nucleotide ribosomal RNA is filed under the name uncultured bacterium. RNAcentral describes it as "partial 16S ribosomal RNA". It matches the Rfam family "Bacterial small subunit ribosomal RNA", at positions 28 to 507 of the family's 1533-position model. The record is from RNAcentral.
GAUGAACGCUGGCGGCGUGCCUAACACAUGCAAGUCGAACGAAGCACUGUGGUGCUUUCCCCUCGGGACUGAUCGUCUUGCGGCUGAGUAACGCACGGGUGAGUAACGCAUAGGUAAGCAGCACUGUACGGGGGGAUAACAGAUGGAAACGGCUGCUAUUACCGCAAAAGCGCAAAGCAUCGCAUGAUGCAGUGUGAACAACUCCGGUGGUAUAAGAUGGACAUGCGCUGGAUUAGCUAGUUGGUGAGGUAACGGCCCACGAAGGCGACGAUCCAUAGCCGACCUGAGAGGGUGACCGGCCACACUGGGACUGAGACACGGUCCAGACUCCUACGGGAGGCAGCAGUGGGGAAUAUUGCACAAUGGGCGAAAGCCUGAUGGGGCGACGCCGCGUGAACGAAGAAGUAUUUCGGGAUGUAAAGUGCUAUUAGCAGUGAAGAUCAUGACGGUACCUGAUGAAGAAGCACCGGCUAAAUACGUG